Molecule: long non-coding RNA, 1472 nt
Organism: Onthophagus taurus
Lineage: Eukaryota; Metazoa; Arthropoda; Insecta; Coleoptera; Scarabaeidae
Source: RefSeq, a predicted model, not a curated record
UUUCAUUUACCUCACCUUGAACGCACAUGGCGUGCCGAUGCCAUUCCGCUUUAUAUGCAAGGCAUGCAAGGAAGAGUAUUUUUCGGAGAAGCAUUUUUGUUUGGUGUUAGCAGUUUUUUAAAAAACAACGUUGUGGAAAUGUCGAAAUAUUGGAUAGGGAAUCUUUCUUGCAAUGUUUACGUGAAAACUUCCAUCAAUUAUCCAGGAAUAAACACAAAAGAGACAGACUUUCAAUUCUGCAUUUCGAAUAUGAGGAAGAUGUUUUGAUAACGUGAAGGUGGCGUCCCAUCCGCAAAAAGUGUAGAUACUUCAGAUUUGUCUCAGUUGCGUACUGGUUAACCUUGCACUGAAAUCAUAAGCAUCCCAAGAAUGAUAUUUUUGAUUAAUAGCAACUAUGGGUUUCCUUUCGUCCCCUUUUCGAAGACAAUUCCUCAGUUUAACAGCUUAUGUGCGAAUUGCAGGGAUUUAAGACGAUCAAUCAUUGUGUAACCAAAAUGAGCUGUGGGCCAUUACGUUGAUAGUAAAUAUUUUGUCUGAUAUUCAAUGGAACUUCCUUCAAUAGAUCUAUCAAAUUAAUUUCAAAAAAUUCUGAUCACGUGUUAAUGCUGAAUUGAUGCUGAACGUGAGUUUCCACUGUCACAUGUGGGUUAUUAUCAGACACAAAAUUAUAUCCACAAUAUGCUGCUGAGAUAUCUAAUAUUUGUGAUAUGUAGUUAGGAACCAGUCUUUUCUGGCUGUGCUAUGGAUAGGUACACAAGUGUUCUACCAAGAAUAAUUGCUUGAGAGAGCUUGAAUAAUUCCUUGUGGAACGCAUGUGUAUGUGCAACCUUUAUAUUUUGGGAUCUGCUUUUUUUGACACUUUGUUUUGUUAAAAUCCCCAAUGUACCUUCCUUUUAACUCUGCUUAUUUUUCAGUGUACUGGAUAUUAUCUAACUGUUUACAGAAUUAUUUUGUCCAGGUUUCUUUGUCACUAUUACUAGACUUCUUAUGUCAUUUUUAAAAGUAUGAUCAAGAACCCAAAUACUUAUAAUAUGAGUUUCACACUUGUUAUCACAGACUGAGACGUCUAAAGUCGUGUGGUUUAUCAUGUGACUACCAAUGUUCAUUAUGUAAAUUAUGUUAUAACGAAUGAAUUGAACUUAUUAAACCCAACGCCUUAAAUCUUAGAAAUAUUAUGAUCAUAUUAUGCUUGUCUCAUGAUGCUCAGUUUCAACAAUAGCUGUUCGAAAAGGACUCAUUUUGGCUAAAGAGGUUGAGAUGAGACCCUCACUACAACUACAAGAUAUGCGUAAUUUUUGGUCAUAAAAUACACAGGCUGGUUCUCUACAAAAGGUGUUGAGCUUUGUUUCAAAUAAAAGAACACGACACAAACAAGUUUAUGACAUUGUAAUGACUGACUUUAGUUCAAUAGUUUCAACGUAUAUGUAACUGUUCUUAUAUUAGAGCGCCUGUCAAUAGAUGGCAUUAGUGUU